Molecule: ribosomal RNA, 286 nt
Filed under: uncultured soil bacterium
Lineage: Bacteria
Description: partial 16S ribosomal RNA
Rfam family: Bacterial small subunit ribosomal RNA
Source: RNAcentral
AGAAUCAACGCUGGCGGCGUGCCUAACACAUGCAAGUCGAACGCGGUUACCGCAGCUCCGCAAGGAGUUGUGGUGACUGAGUGGCGAACGGGUGAGUAACACGUGGGUGAUCUACCUUUGAGUGGGGGAUAACGUUCCGAAAGGAACGCUAAUACCGCAUGACGUUCUGGGUUUGAAGACCUGGAAACCAAAGUCGGGGACCGCAAGGCCUGACGCUUGGAGAGGAGCCCGCGCCUGAUUAGCUAGUUGGUGAGGUAAUGGCUCACCAAGGCGACGAUCAGUAGCC